GAUGAACGCUGGCGGCGUGCCUAAUACAUGCAAGUCGAGCGAACAGACGAGGAGCUUGCUCCUCUGACGUUAGCGGCGGACGGGUGAGUAACACGUGGAUAACCUACCUAUAAGACUGGGAUAACUUCGGGAAACCGGAGCUAAUACCGGAUAAUAUAUUGAACCGCAUGGUUCAAUAGUGAAAGACGGUUUUGCUUUCACUUAUAGAUGGAUCCGCGCCGCAUUAGCUAGUUGGUAAGGUAACGGCUUACCAAGGCGACGAUGCGUAGCCGACCUGAGAGGGUGAUCGGCCACACUGGAACUGAGACACGGUCCAGACUCCUACGGGAGGCAGCAGUAGGGAAUCUUGCGCAAUGGGCGAAAGCCUGACGGAGCAACGCCGCGUGAGUGAUGAAGGUCUUCGGAUCGUAAAACUCUGUUAUUAGGGAAGAACAAAUGUGUAAGUAACUAUGCACGUCUUGACGGUACCUAAUCAGAAAGCCACGGCUAACUACGUG
Molecule: ribosomal RNA, 497 nt
Filed under: uncultured bacterium
Lineage: Bacteria
Description: partial 16S ribosomal RNA
Rfam family: Bacterial small subunit ribosomal RNA
Source: RNAcentral